RNAcentral lists this transfer RNA (66 nucleotides) under Pieris brassicae (large cabbage white). Its description in RNAcentral is "tRNA-Met". The record is from RNAcentral. Lineage: Eukaryota; Metazoa; Arthropoda; Insecta; Lepidoptera; Pieridae.
UUAAGAAUAAGCUAAAUUAAGCUAUUGGGCUCAUACCCCAAAUAUAAAGAUAUACUUUUUCUUAAA